AACGCUGGCGGUCUGCUUACACAUGCAAGUCGAACGCAACCUUCGGGUUGAGUGGCGGACGGGUGAGUAACGCGUGAGAAUCUGCCUUGGGGUCGGGGACAACCACUGGAAACGGUGGCUAAUACCGGAUAAGCCUUUGGGUAAAAGAUUUAUUGCCCCAAGAGGAGCUCGCGUCUGAUUAGCUAGUUGGUGAGGUAAAAGCUCACCAAGGCAGCGAUCAGUAGCUGGUCUGAGAGGACGAUCAGCCACACUGGGACUGAGACACGGCCCAGACUCCUACGGGAGGCAGCAGUGGGGAAUUUUCCGCAAUGGGCGAAAGCCUGACGGAGCAAGACCGCGUGAGGGAGGAAGGCUCUUGGGUUGUAAACCUCUUUUCUCAGGGAAGAAGCUCUGACGGUACCUGAGGAAUCAGCCUCGGCUAACUCCGUGCCAGCAGCCGCGGUAAUACGGAGGAGGCAAGCGUUAUCCGGAAUUAUUGGGCGUAAAGCGUCCGCAGGUGGCGAUUCAAGUCUGCUGUCAAAGCACGGGGCUUAACUCCGUUAAGGCAGUGGAAACUGAAUAGCUAGAGUGCCGUAGGGGUAGAGGGAAUUCCCGGUGUAACGGUGAACUGCGUACAGAUCGGGAAGAACAUCGGUGGCGAAAGCGCUCUACUGGACGGCAACUGACACUCAGGGACGAAAGCUACGGGAGCGACUGGGAUUAGAUACCCCAGUAGUCCUAGCUGUAAACGAAGGAUACUAGGUGUAGCUUGUAUCGACCC
RNAcentral lists this ribosomal RNA (760 nucleotides) under uncultured organism. RNAcentral describes it as "bacterial SSU rRNA". It matches the Rfam family "Bacterial small subunit ribosomal RNA", at positions 32 to 838 of the family's 1533-position model. The record is from RNAcentral.